GUCCUAGCCGUAAACGAUGGGUACUAGGUGUUGGAGGAUUCUACCCCUUCAGUGCCGCAGCUAAUGCAUUAAGUACCCCACCUGGGGGAGUACGAUCGCAAGGUUGAAACUCAAAAGGAAUUGACGGGGGCCCGCACAAGCGGUGGAGCAUGUGGUUUAAUUCGAUGCAACGCGAAGAACCUUACCUAGGCUUGACAUGCAGGGGGACAGGUGUAGAAAUACAUCCUUCCUUCGGGACCCUUGCACAGGUGCUGCAUGGCUGUCGU
RNAcentral lists this ribosomal RNA (266 nucleotides) under uncultured bacterium. RNAcentral describes it as "partial 16S ribosomal RNA". It matches the Rfam family "Bacterial small subunit ribosomal RNA", at positions 793 to 1055 of the family's 1533-position model. The record is from RNAcentral.